Molecule: ribosomal RNA, 434 nt
Filed under: uncultured Lachnospiraceae bacterium
Lineage: Bacteria; Bacillati; Bacillota; Clostridia; Lachnospirales; Lachnospiraceae
Description: partial 16S ribosomal RNA
Rfam family: Bacterial small subunit ribosomal RNA
Source: RNAcentral
ACGGGAGGCAGCAGUGGGGAAUAUUGGACAAUGGGGGAAACUCUGAUCCAGCGACGCCGCGUGAGUGAAGAAGUAUUUCGGUAUGUAAAGCUCCAUCAGCAGGGAAGAUAAUGACGGUACCUGACUAAGAAGCCCCGGCUAACUACGUGCCAGCAGCCGCGGUAAUACGUAGGGGGCAAGCGUUAUCCGGAUUUACUGGGUGUAAAGGGAGCGUAGACGGAAGGCCAAGUCUGAUGUGAAAACCCAGGGCUCAACCCUGGGACUGCAUUGGAAACUGGUCAUCUAGAGUGCAGGAGGGGUAAGCGGAAUUCCUAGUGUAGCGGUGAAAUGCGUAGAUAUUAGGAGGAACACCAGUGGCGAAGGCGGCUUACUGGACUGUAACUGACGUUGAGGCUCGAAAGCGUGGGGAGCAAACAGGAUUAGAUACCCUGGUA